This 516-nucleotide ribosomal RNA is filed under the name Aspergillus sp. BAB-4509. Its description in RNAcentral is "eukaryotic LSU rRNA". The stretch from base 144 to 297 matches the Rfam family "5.8S ribosomal RNA". Lineage: Eukaryota; Fungi; Ascomycota; Eurotiomycetes; Eurotiales; Aspergillaceae. The record is from RNAcentral.
UUUACUGUACCUUAGUUUGCUUCGGCGGGCCCGCCAUUCUGUGGCCGCCGGGGGCUCUCAGCCCCGGGCCCGCGCCCGCCGGAGACACCACGAACUCUGUCUGAUCUAGUGAAGUCUGAGUUGAUUGUAUCGCAAUCAGUUAAAACUUUCAACAAUGGAUCUCUUGGUUCCGGCAUCGAUGAAGAACGCAGCGAAAUGCGAUAACUAGUGUGAAUUGCAGAAUUCCGUGAAUCAUCGAGUCUUUGAACGCACAUUGCGCCCCCUGGUAUUCCGGGGGGCAUGCCUGUCCGAGCGUCAUUGCUGCCCAUCAAGCACGGCUUGUGUGUUGGGUCGUCGUCCCCUCUCCGGGGGGGACGGGCCCCAAAGGCAGUGGCGGCACCGCGUCCGAUCCUCGAGCGUAUGGGGCUUUGUCACCCGCUCUGUAGGCCCGGCCGGCGCUUGCCGAACGCAAAUCAAUCUUUUUCCAGGUUGACCUCGGAUCAGGUAGGGAUACCCGCUGAACUUAAGCAUAUCAAU